CCAGCACAUACCGCGUGUAGUGUAAGAAGGUCCUUCGGAUUGUAAGCACUUUUGGUUGGGAGGAAGGGCAGCUGGUUAAUACCUUGCUGUUUUGACGUUUCCCACAGAAUAAGCACCGGCUAAAUUUGUGCCAGCAGCCGCGGUAAUACCAAGGGUGCAAGCGUUAAUCGGAAUUACUGGGCGUAAAGCGCGCGUAGGUGGUUUGUUAAGUUGGAUGUGAAAGCCCCGGGCUCAACCUGGGAACUGCAUCGGAUACUGGGCAGCUAGAGUACGGAAGAGGGUGGUGGAAUUUCCGGUGUAGCGGUGAAAUGCGUAGAUAUCGGAAGGAACACCAGUGGCGAAGGCGACUACCUGGACUGAUACUGACACUGAGGUGCGAAAGCGUGGGGAGCAACAGGAUUAGAUACCCUGGUAGUCCACGCCCUAACGAUGUGUACUGGACGUUGGAUGCCUUUAGAUUCUCAUGACGCAACUUAAGGAGUAAAUUGACCGCCCGGGGGAAGAACGCUCGCAGGAUUGAAACUUCAAUGGAAUUUGAACGGGGGCCCGCAAAAGCCGGUGGAAGCAUGUUGGUUAAAUUUCGGAUGCAACGCGAAAACUUAACAUGGUCUUUGACUUGCACGAGGAACUUGUUCUGAGAAUGAGAUGGUGGCCUUCGGGGACUCUGACACAGUGCUGCAUGGUUUUUUAUGGAUCAACAAGAAU
RNAcentral lists this ribosomal RNA (705 nucleotides) under Pseudomonas monteilii. Its description in RNAcentral is "bacterial SSU rRNA". It matches the Rfam family "Bacterial small subunit ribosomal RNA", at positions 388 to 1075 of the family's 1533-position model. The record is from RNAcentral. Lineage: Bacteria; Pseudomonadati; Pseudomonadota; Gammaproteobacteria; Pseudomonadales; Pseudomonadaceae.